Molecule: unclassified non-coding RNA, 369 nt
Filed under: soil metagenome
Description: partial contains 5.8S ribosomal RNA, internal transcribed spacer 2, and large subunit ribosomal RNA
Rfam family: 5.8S ribosomal RNA (bases 1-120)
Source: RNAcentral
GAUGAAGAACGUAGCGAAAUGCGAUAAGUAGUGUGAAUUGCAGAAUUCAGUGAAUCAUCGAGUCUUUGAACGCACAUUGCGCCCGCUAGUAUUCUGGCGGGCAUGCCUGUCCGAGCGUCAUUUCAACCCUCGAGCCCGGCUCGGCGUUGGGGCGCGCGGCGCCUGCCCUCCCCCCCGGGGAGGGCCGGCCCGCGGCCCUCAAACCCAGUGGCGGUCACCGGUAGGGUACCCUCUGCGUAGUAGCAAGCCUCUCGCACCGGGAACCACCGGCGGCCCGCCGUGAAACGAGGCCCCGUCCUCACACACAAAGGUUGACCUCGGAUCAGGUAGGAAUACCCGCUGAACUUAAGCAUAUCAAUAAGCGGAGGA